CCAUGGAGAGGACUGAGUUUGUGUCCUCCUGUAGCUCUUGUCACAGUGGCAGGAGGCAGGGGAUGAAUACUUGGGAAAGCAUCAUGCAGCAAAUGCUUGGUGACCUGGAUGACAUGAAGUACCUGGUUAUGCAAGACUGGGGAGGGCAUUCCAGAGGACUGCCAGUGCAAAGGCCCCAAGGAAGGUUGGGGCUUGAUCUGUGAGAGUGUCAGAGUAGAGACCAGUGAGGUGGAGCUCAGGGAGAGAGGCUCCGAAGAGUGGAGAAGUAGGUGGACGCCGAGCUCAGGAGACUCAGUUUUAUUCAAAGAGCAGACGUUUCUGUAAAAUCGUCUCCCACUGGCUCAGAAGCUUCCGGGAGGUGGAGGCUGUGCCCUCUCACUUUGUAACAUUCGUCUGCAAUAUGAGAGGACGACGUUUUCUUUCCUUGGACUCUGAUUCUCCUUAUAGUCUGUGGAGCCAGGCUUCAAGCUGUCCUCUGCUGACCCUGGGGCCUUUUGUGCUUCUCCUUCACACUGAAGGGGCAGGGCCUUUGUGAUUCGUAAAUGAUUUAGAAGUGGCAAUGUGUGAUGUUUGAGGCUAGGCUGUGAAAGUCAUGCCUAACGGUCACACAGAGGGGCCUACAUGGAGUAGAACUGAGUCCUUGGACAGAAUUGAGCCAUCAACUUGUCAGUCAGCCCUGUACCUGCCUGAGGUGCUGGUCUGCUCCCACCCUGACGACAAUGGAUUAAGCCUCUGAAGCUAGAUAAUGACAGAGCCACCCCUGAAUAUUUGAUCUGCAGCAUCCCUGGCUUCCACUUGCAUGAGACAUUUGGCGUGGUUCUCCUGUGCUCUGCAAGCCUGGCAGCUUGUGUUUCUCUCCUGCUGUGGCGCAGUGUGGGGCUUUGGACAGGCGCCUGACUGUUACGCUUCCCUUAAUGUUUUUGUUUGUGCUUCUGUCAAAUAUCUUCUUAAAGGUUGAUUCCUGUCCUCUCUUAAGAGCAGCUUGAAAAUAAAAUAAAAUAAAACAAUAAAAUAAAACAUGAGUGUGCCCUGCCUGUGAGAAAUGCCUUUAUUAUUGAUGAGGAUAUCCUAUUCCAGUGUCUACCGGUCACCUGCCUAUCCAGGUCAGGAGCCGGGAGCCUUUCUCCAGGCUGUGUUCCCCCGCCAGCGCUUCAGUGGUGUGAAUAUGAAGUAGUCUUCCCUGCAGGUGCUCAGCACACAGGCUGCAACCCGUGCAGUGUGUGUCAGGCAGUAAGGAAGGGUCUUCCUCGGCCCCAGUUCUGACAUGCUGGCUCUGCUGAAAAGGAACUUCAGAGAAAGAACCUCGGCCUGUGACCCCUGUGCCAACCCCAUUUGCUCCUCCUGAGAUCUCGAAUGCUUAGCAUUUGUUGAGCAUUGUAAUGUGGGCCGGUACUUGGAAUGAUGCCAUGCAUCGUCUAACAGGAGAAUUUUACAGCGCAGAGAACAUUACGUUCACAGCCAGGAAGC
Non-coding RNA from Rattus norvegicus (Norway rat), 1467 nucleotides. NCBI's taxonomy places the organism in Eukaryota, Metazoa, Chordata, Mammalia, Rodentia, Muridae. The record is from RefSeq and is a predicted model, not a curated record.